RNAcentral lists this ribosomal RNA (405 nucleotides) under uncultured bacterium. RNAcentral describes it as "partial 16S ribosomal RNA". It matches the Rfam family "Bacterial small subunit ribosomal RNA", at positions 360 to 773 of the family's 1533-position model. The record is from RNAcentral.
AAUAUUGCACAAUGGGCGAAAGCCUGAUGCAGCGACGCCGCGUGAGGGAUGACGGCCUUCGGGUUGUAAACCUCUUUCAGUAGGGAAGAAGCCUUUCGGGGUGACGGUACCUGCAGAAGAAGCGCGGGCUAACUACGUGCCAGCAGCCGCGGUAAUACGUAGGGCGCAAGCGUUGUCCGGAAUUACUGGGCGUAAAGAGCUCGUAGGCGGUCAGUCGCGUCUGCUGUGAAAACCCGAGGCUCAACCUCGGGCCUGCAGUGGGUACGGGCUGACUAGAGUGUGGUAGGGGAGACUGGAAUUCCUGGUGUAGCGGUGGAAUGCGCAGAUAUCAGGAGGAACACCGAUGGCGAAGGCAGGUCUCUGGGCCACAACUGACGCUCAGACACGAAAGCGUGGGGAGCAAAC